AUUGAACGCUGGCGGCAGGCCUAACACAUGCAAGUCGAGCGGAUGAAGGGAGCUUGAUCCUGGAUUCAGCGGCGGACGGGUGAGUAAUGCCUAGGAAUCUGCCUGGUAGUGGGGGAUAACGUCCGGAAACGGGCGCUAAUACCGCAUACGUCCUGAGGGAGAAAGUGGGGGAUCUUCGGACCUCACGCUAUCAGAUGAGCCUAGGUCGGAUUAGCUAGUUGGUGGGGUAAAGGCCUACCAAGGCGACGAUCCGUAACUGGUCUGAGAGGAUGAUCAGUCACACUGGAACUGAGACACGGUCCAGACUCCUACGGGAGGCAGCAGUGGGGAAUAUUGGACAAUGGUCGAAAGCCUGAUCCAGCCAUGCCGCGUGUGUGAAGAAGGUCUUCGGAUUGUAAAGCACUUUAAGUUGGGAGUAAGGGCAGUAAGUUAAUACCUUGCUGUUUUGACGUUACCAACAGAAUAAGCACCGGCUAACUUCGUG
Molecule: ribosomal RNA, 484 nt
Filed under: uncultured bacterium
Lineage: Bacteria
Description: partial 16S ribosomal RNA
Rfam family: Bacterial small subunit ribosomal RNA
Source: RNAcentral